Long non-coding RNA from Arabidopsis thaliana (thale cress), 284 nucleotides. RefSeq annotates it as other RNA. NCBI's taxonomy places the organism in Eukaryota, Viridiplantae, Streptophyta, Magnoliopsida, Brassicales, Brassicaceae. The transcript has a single exon. The record is from RefSeq.
GGUAGAUACUAAUAUACUCUUAUUUUUCUUGAGAAAGAUAUUGAAGCUUGAGAAGUUAAUGAAACCAUGUCUUGUUGUUGCUGUUACCAUGUUUUUUUCUUCUUCUUCCUUUGUGUCUUUUCUCACAAGCUUCAUUGCUUCUACUCAAAAACUUUCCUCAUGUCAUGGCCGUCCCAAGAUAACAUUACCUGAUCUUUAAAACCACAGCUGAAAAAGGUUGGAAUUACAUAGCCAUAAUCAUCGCCAUUGGUGUACCAAUUGGAGUAGUCGUUCUGCUUUUCGUU